Molecule: long non-coding RNA, 376 nt
Organism: Pezoporus flaviventris
Lineage: Eukaryota; Metazoa; Chordata; Aves; Psittaciformes; Psittacidae
Exons: 3
Source: RefSeq, a predicted model, not a curated record
CAGCAGAUGAAGUGGGUGAAGCAUCAGAAGGAUGUGAAAGUUGGCAACUGAAAGUCCGAGAUAGCGGUGCUGUCCUCGGGAGGCCAUUCACAGUGCAGCGGUUUUGUUCUGAACAGUGAAUGAAUGGCUUCAAAGAGAUGCAAUGAACUUCCUUCGUUGUGACAGCGCUGAGAAGAGCAGCCGCUUCCUCAGCCUCCUUCCCUGAAGCUGUCACUUCCAGAUCAUGCAGUGGGAAAGAUGCAGCUGCUUAUGAUGGGUGUCACUGAACGGUCUCUCGGCACCUGCCUUGCCAUGCCUGCUCAAUGAACUGAUUUCUGGAGGAGAAAGGGGGUUCACACCAACUGUGUAGCCUUUUGUGUCCAGCUGCGGGCUGGGC